This 342-nucleotide ribosomal RNA is filed under the name uncultured bacterium. RNAcentral's name for it is "bacterial SSU rRNA". It matches the Rfam family "Bacterial small subunit ribosomal RNA", at positions 28 to 371 of the family's 1533-position model. The record is from RNAcentral.
GACGAACGCUGGCGGCGUGCUUAACACAUGCAAGUCGAGCGGUAAGGCCCUUUCGGGGGUACACGAGCGGCGAACGGGUGAGUAACACGUGGGUGACCUGCCCUCAGCUCUGGGAUAAGCCUGGGAAACCGGGUCUAAUACUGGAUAUGACUCCAUGACGCUUGUUGUGGGGUGGAAAGCCUUGUGCGGCUGAGGAUGGGCCCGCGGCCUAUCAGCUUGUUGGUGGGGUGAUGGCCUACCAAGGCGACGACGGGUAGCCGGCCUGAGAGGGCGACCGGCCACACUGGGACUGAGACACGGCCCAGACUCCUACGGGAGGCAGCAGUGGGGAAUUUUGGACAA